GGCACAAUACCAUGAUAAUCUUACCAAUUUAUCGAAUUUUGAACCAUAUAAUCUCAAAUAUCAAAUUUCCGACAAGGCACAAUACAAUCAUUCUAAUUUAUCGAAUCAAAAGUGGAAAACAAUUGAUUAAAUAUUUAUUUUACACCAAUUACAUCGCUCUCUUUUAUUUGUAUUUCCCAUCUGAAAGAGAAUAUCAAACAACCGUAAAAAAGAGGGUUGAACAAUU
This 226-nucleotide long non-coding RNA is filed under the name Trifolium pratense (red clover). RNAcentral's name for it is "long non-coding RNA (TPRA_LNC013751)". The record is from RNAcentral. Lineage: Eukaryota; Viridiplantae; Streptophyta; Magnoliopsida; Fabales; Fabaceae.